Molecule: long non-coding RNA, 901 nt
Filed under: Marmota monax (woodchuck)
Lineage: Eukaryota; Metazoa; Chordata; Mammalia; Rodentia; Sciuridae
Source: RNAcentral
CUGGGUACAAGCCUGGUCUCCAGCACUCCCACCUGUGUGAUUUGAACAAGUCAACUAAAUUCUCCUUGCCCUGACUUCCUCAGGGCAAGAGGAAUAGGGAAGAGUUAACAUCUUUUCUUGAUUGUUAUGAUAAUAAUUAAAUAGAAUACUUUGUGCCAGGGAUUGUACAAAAUGCUGGACACACAAUGGGCCUCCAAAUCUUGCUAAUAUCAUUAUUCAUUUGGUGAAUAAUGAACUUCUUUGAGUAACUUCUCCUGUUAUUUCAAAAUUGCACAACAAAUUAAAAAUGAAAAGAUAUCUAUUACAUUCUAUCAAAGGGAAAAGUUGGACAUAUAACAUGAAGUUUUAUAAACAAAAUUUUUAAAACUAUGUGUAUUUAUGUAUAUCUAUGUAUUUUCAUGUCCACGUGUGUGUUUUGUGUGUGUGCAUGUACUCAAGCAUAAUAAUACAUCUGGGGAAAAAAUCUGUCAGCAAGUAAUUAUUAGUGAAGGGACAACUCAGUUUUUUGACUCACUUUAUCCUGUCACAUUUGGAUUUUUGAAAUCAUGUAUUAACCUUAUAAUGAAAUUAAGUAUAAUGCUGAAAUAAGACAAAAUAGAAUCAACCAAAGUUAUAAAUAAUUUUAAAGAGUUGCACUGUGCUUACUUUUUUUCUGACCAAAAAAUAAAAAUAAAGAAGAUAUUGAAUAAAAAAAUACAAUGACUCUGCAAAGUAGCCUGAGAAGCUUAGAGCUUCAUUGACAAUUUCCCCAGCAAUCUAUCCAGAAUUAUUUUACUUCCUAUGAUAACAGUUGAUCUCACUGUAGCCCCAUCUCUUCUGAAAUCUUUCUUUCUGAAUUCUUGUUGUCCUCUGAAUUUGUACCAUAUCAUUUAAAAAUUGUCAAAUGACUCUGUAAGCUGGG